Labrus bergylta (ballan wrasse) is the source of this 207-nucleotide non-coding RNA. The record is from RefSeq and is a predicted model, not a curated record. Lineage: Eukaryota; Metazoa; Chordata; Actinopteri; Labriformes; Labridae.
CAGCUGCUGGAGAUCUGCAGGACACAGUAAACAAACAUUAACGAUCCAUAUUUUGGAUACGAUCGGGCCCGGGGGCUGAGCCAUUUUUCAUCUACUUCAACGCCCUCAACACCUCUGCAGGUGUUGAGGCUCACGCGAGUGACGUAGGAAGUCAAACAAGAGAAGCAUGAAUAGAUGGCGCCCUCUGCUGUUUAAAAAGAAGUACUG